UGGCUCAGAACGACGCUGGCGGCGCGUCUUAAGCAUGCAAGUCGAACGGCAAGAGGUAGCAAUACCUCCUAGAGUGGCGGACUGGUGAGUAACACGUGGGUGACAUACCCUUCAGAUGGGGAUAGCUAUUAGAAAUAGUAGAUAAUACCGAAUACGAGCACAGGGGUUAGAGAUCUGUGAGGAAAGGAGCUAAGGCUCCGCUGAAGGAAUGGCCUGCGGCCCAUUAGCUAGUUGGUGAGGUAAGAGCCCACCAAGGCGAUGAUGGGUAUCCGGCCUUAGAGGGUGAACGGACACAUUGGGACUGAGAUACGGCCCAGACUCCUACGGGAGGCAGCAGCUAAGAAUAUUCCGCAAUGGACGAAAGUCUGACGGAGCGACGCCGCCGUGGAUGAAGAAGGCCGGAAGGUUGUAAAAUCCUUUUGAAACUGAAGAAUAAGCGUUGUAGGGAAUGACAGCGUGGUGACAGUAGGUUUUGAAUAAGCAACGGCUAAUUACGUGCCAGCCGCCGC
This 509-nucleotide ribosomal RNA is filed under the name uncultured bacterium. RNAcentral's name for it is "bacterial SSU rRNA". It matches the Rfam family "Bacterial small subunit ribosomal RNA", at positions 20 to 518 of the family's 1533-position model. The record is from RNAcentral.